This 284-nucleotide unclassified non-coding RNA is filed under the name Absconditonia rubra. Its description in RNAcentral is "Absconditella rubra partial contains 5.8S ribosomal RNA, internal transcribed spacer 2, and large subunit ribosomal RNA". The record is from RNAcentral. Lineage: Eukaryota; Fungi; Ascomycota; Lecanoromycetes; Ostropales; Stictidaceae.
CGCACAUUGCACCUUUUGGUAUUCCGAGAGGUAUGCUUGUUCGAGCGUCGUUUACUGUAUAUCAAUUUAAUUAUUGAUGUGUUGAGAGAUUUUGACAUCAAAACUUUCUAAAAUCAUUGAAGCGGUCUUGACUGAAUAUUAUUGAACGCAUUGAAUAUUUUUUAAUUAAAAUCGUGCAAGAAAAUCAGUGGGAGAUUAGCCAAAACACAAUUGAGAAUGUAACAAUUUUCUACUAAUCGUAACGAAUCGACCUCGAAUCAAGCAAGAGUACCCGCUGAACUUAA